This 1435-nucleotide long non-coding RNA is filed under the name Marmota monax (woodchuck). The record is from RNAcentral. Lineage: Eukaryota; Metazoa; Chordata; Mammalia; Rodentia; Sciuridae.
GUCGGCCUUGGCCCCCAGAGCGGGGGUGGAAAGGCGCCGGCUGCCUCGCACCGGGGGUGCGGGCGGCUGCAGCUGGUGACGCCCGCCUAGUGGAGGGCGAGGGGUGAGGUUUGCAGAAGCAAAGCGGGGAGCCCUUCUGCCCUUAAGUUAAAAUGGCCAGCAGUUGGACUUCUGUGUCACACAUUGUGCCUCACAAAUCCUGAGUUGCUUAUUACAUUGUCACUUAAACAUCUUAGGCCAAAAUUUCAUAAUGUUGUCACGAUUUCCUCAGUAGUCCGCAUAGGCCAAUCUGAAGACAUGUCUGUUCUAUGAGGGUUCUUGUUAAGCAAAGAAAAAAAAAAAUUGAAAUACAGUUUCUAUUCCACACACAAAAAAUUUUGUUUCUCGAAUUAUCCAUGAAGUUCCUGCAGCAAACUUCUUAAAAGAUUUUUGAAAGGAACAUGGGGUCGGCUUUCAAAUUACCCCUAGUAGUUAUGGACAGCAUAGAAUAGUAAAAACUGCCAGCAGUCUCCAAAUCCUACUUUGUGAUGGGCUUGUGCUUUGGAGGCUGUUAGCUAGGGUUUCUCUUACAAAUUGAGAGACUGAUCAGAAUACCUAAGCCUCAGUUUCAACAUCUAUACAGUGGGUAUAUUUUUUUCUGCGCAGCUAUAAAUGAUAAGAAAUAAGCAAUGUAAAGUGCUCAGUUCAGAUUCUUUCAUGUAAUCAAAAUUGAGUAAGUUAUGGUUCUCUUUUCUUUGACCUCCAGUUAGAUUCUUGCAGUGAAUUUAAUUUCCCAUAAAAUCUAGAGACAGGGCAAUUAUGUUUCGGUUACUAUUAAGAACCAAAAUAUCAUCCUUGAGGAUGGCCAUGCUUUAAUCAACAGGGCUGUUCAACCAAUUGGAUAGAACGGAAAUAACAAAAGAAUUUGAACAGGUCUUUCAAGUUUAUUGUACUGAGAUUGAACUGCUUCUAUGGCUAAGCAUGCCUGACUGACCUGAGGUUCACCUUUCUCUUCCCUAGUAAUUCUCAGGAGAAAGAAUUAAGGAGGAAUCAAGUGGCCAACAGGCUGCAAAGUAGAGGGUAGAAGAUAAACAGUGAACAUACAGGUCUUUCAUCCAAAAAAUUUAUGUGCAGAGCUCUAUAUGAGGUAGUGGUAGUUGUAAGAAAGGAAAAACCAAAAUAAAGGCACUCUUCUGCUCCAAAUACCUGAGAACUUAUUAUCCUGUUUUGAUAUAAGCAUUGUUCUUACAUUAAAAAAGGAACAUAAUAGGUGCUGAAAAUGUGUUGAAAUGAACAAUGGCUUAUACAAUUGUUUAUUAAGGGCUUUUUACAUAUAUGGUUUCCUAUCUCUUGAUUUAGUGCUUUCUGUUGGAUGUGUCUGCACUAGGAAGUCCCUUCUUUUAUAACAGAGCACAUCUACAAAACAUUUAAUCCGAAUCAUUUCACUGGAUGUUCA